This is a non-coding RNA of Cyanistes caeruleus (blue tit), 1746 nucleotides long. Lineage: Eukaryota; Metazoa; Chordata; Aves; Passeriformes; Paridae. The record is from RefSeq and is a predicted model, not a curated record.
GAUGAGAUGCUUGGGUUUUGAAUACAUACUAAGUUGUUUUGAGUUUCUGAUGGGCUCAUUUUGGCAAUUGAUAAUUGCUUGGUUGGAUAACCAGCUGUUAGUUCAAAAGGAAAUUUUGCCUUGUUAAGUUAGUAGCAGCAAGUCUAUCUUCUUUUGUCAAGUGCUGCUUCAUCUCAGUGAAGCUUGAUUUCCAUCUGCAAGAGGUCCUGUGGCAUACAGACCCUUUAGAGUUAUGGGCUUCAGCUCCAUCACAACAUCCAUACAUGUAUUGGUGGUGUCUUGACUGAACCACGCUGGUGUACACUGAAUUGGAGAGUCAGAGACUCCAGAAUCCAGCAGUAUUUGUAAUCUGAUGCCUGCUGUAUCAUCACAUUAAAAGCAAUGGGCAAUUUAGUAAAUAAGGCUCAGUGACACUGGGUUAAAAAACCCCCAAACAAUACAACAAAUGAACAAACAAAAACCAACUCAAACAAACAACUUUUCAUGGGAAGCUCUAUUUUAUGUGUGUUUCACAAACAGCACAGAAUGAGGAUCAAGAUUUAUUUUCUCAACAGCUUUUUCUUUCUUCACCUGGAAGCUUCAUAUCUGACUUUUAAGUCUUUCCAUCACUGAUGGUAUUAUAGAAUACUGGUAUAGUGUAUUUUGGGUUUCUUUUUUAAUUAGUUUGCUUAGGGUUAUGUCUUAAAUGGAAAUCCAGAGAAGAGUUGAAGGAGCAUAUGGAAUUACAGAAUUGCUAGUGCCCCUUUUUUCUUCAUUUCAGGAUCAAGUAUUCAAAACCAGACAUCAGUUGAGUGAACAUCACAAACAAAUCCAUCAUGAAGAAGCACCAAACCCACAAAUGAAAGAGAGGAAGAGAAGAACAAAGUCUGAAGAGAAUCCUGUGUGUUUCAACACAAAAGCAACUUGAAAGUAGAAUUCAAGCUAAUUUAAAUGCAGUAUCUACAUACCUACAGUAGGUCUGCAGAGUGCUACCAAAAUAAAUGGAUCCUCAGUAUUGGUUGAAUGGAAACCUUAAAUUCAGAGAAGCUUAUGUUCCAAAUUGAAUUCAGAAGAGCUUGGGCCUUCACACUGCCUGACAUCACACGGCUGAUGAGGUGUUCGGCUGUAGUUUUUGCUGCUCUUCUUCCCCUGACAAACAACUUCUCUGAAAAUACAUUAAGAAAUAUCACCCGAGUUCAGGAAUCUCAUUAAUUAGUUCCCAGGUCAUCUUUACUCUCAAACCACUCCCUGUAGAACAUUAGGUUCUUAAACUUCUACCUAAGCAUUCCAGCAAAGAAAGAAGUUGUUGGCAUUGUCAGGCUUUCAUGUUGAAAGCCAGGGAUUAUAUAUAAGAGGAGAAGAAAUUGUUCUUACGUGGCAAUUAAAAGCACUUAAGAGUGGUCUUUCCAAAGUGCUUUGCAUGGGGUAUGGUACAGGUGAUAACUCCAACGUGCUGAGAGGAUUCAGGGGAUUUGUCCUGUCCAAGGGAUAAAUGUGUUGAUUUCUGUUCUAGUUACCUCCUGCUGAUACAUUCUUCUUACUUAAAAAUGGAGAGAUUGAAUUUCAAAGCAGAAUCAGUUGAAACGUGUCAAAGCUGACUGUGAACCUUACAAGUGCUUUCUUCUUUUUGUCUUUAAUUUUUAACACAAUCUCUAUAUAAAACAGUAAGUGAUUCAAGAAAAUAUACUGAUGCUGUAGAAUUCAGUGGAGUAAACAUUUCUUCGUUGUUACUUUUUAUAAUAAAAUGAGUAUGUUAUCAUAGGCUUA